This is a non-coding RNA of Oryza nivara, 194 nucleotides long. Lineage: Eukaryota; Viridiplantae; Streptophyta; Magnoliopsida; Poales; Poaceae. The record is from Rfam.
AAUAAGUUUAUUUGUAGGUUUCUAUAUCUAGCGUUUAACCAUUCAUUUUAUUUAAUUUUUUUAUGAUUAGUACUUUUAUUGUUAUUAGAUGAUAAAAUAUGAACAGUACUUUACGCGUGACUUAUUUUACUUUUUUUUUUCAAAUAAGACGGACGGUCAAACGUUGAACAUAAAGACUCACAAAUAAACUUAUU